CUCUUUUCACUCGACUCGAACCAUUCUCUCUUUCCACUUUCCUCAGCUGUGCAGAAGCGAAGUAAAGAUUGGAUUUCAUUUUGAGGGUUUCGAUCUGAAGCUGAAGCUGAAGGUAAGCGAAUUUAGGGUUUCAGGCUGCAAAUGAAGUUUGAGUUUCAGUUUGAGGGUUUCGGUCUAAAGCUGAAGAUUGUGGGAAUCGCUAGAGCUUCUUGUAGAUAAGAUUGGAGAGCUGCGGGUAUUGCAGAAAGGUUAUUGCUGGAGUUUCGGAAAGAUUCACAGAGGUUAUUACUAGCAGUUGCUCAGAAACCAGACGGAAAGAAGAAUUGCAGAUCAGGAAAGUAGGUCGAAGAACUUCUACGCAGGAAGGAAGUGAAAGAGGCUGCAGAAAAGGAACUUCAGGAGUUUGCUCAGAUACUUAAAUCUGCUAACGCUAUGCCCAAUUCUUCUAAACCUGGCAAAGAGUUUUGGACAUUUGAAGAGAAAAGCCGCCAAAAGAUUGAGGCUCUUGAGGCUUAUGCUAUUGAUGUGUGCAAAAAUGAUGAUUAGAAGAAAAUAGCUGGCACGGUUCUAGUUGAGAAAAUGGGGCUUCUUGAAGGGCUUGAUCGCUCGUCGUCGGCUUUUGAUGUUUUGUCAUGUAAGUGAAAUGAUAUAUCUACUUACCGUUAAGAGUAUAUUCUUCCUUAGUGCUGGAGAGGUAAGUUAUAUUUCUAUAUGUUUAUAGGUCUUUCUUCGUCAUUAUGACUUAAAGCAGUUAUAGGUUUAUAGAAAAACUGAAAUGUAAAUAACUCAAAUGGUAAAAAAAAAUUGAGAAUAAAGUUUUUAUUAUACUUGGACUUGAAUUUAUUCAUGAGCUACUCCAUCUUACAUGGUUUGUGUUGUACUGAAAUGAUCUGAUUAACCUCUAUUUUUUUCACUAUUAAAUCCCUUUACAUUUUGAGACUGAUUUUUUAAUGGUUAACAUAAUGGUUAGCUGGAAUUUGAUCCCUUUAAUGUUAACUGCAUGUCAUGGCAGGGGGAAGGUUCAUUUUUACUUUGUUUUCUUCCUUUUUGUUUUUGUAUUUGAGCUAAGCAUAUUGGUGGUUUUUCUCAUCUGAAGUUUAACUGUAAUUUUUUUUGUUAAACUUCGACAAUGGUUGGGCGUGAACUGAUGCUACUGGGUAAGAUAAUGAAGUGGAGGAAGCCAGGAGAAGUAAAAGUUGGCGCUGAAUACGUUCAGAAGACAGUGGCUGCUCAUAGCAUUUUCAUUGUCAUCCGCAGGCAUCUCUUUGUUUGAUGUGGAGCUGGUGCAGUUGGCUUUGACCAGGAGGCUGGACAGUGCAAAGGGUUUAGUUGUCCAGUUUGCACAUGUUGAAGAUGCUAGAGCUACUGACAGUUUGAAUGGCAAUUAGACACUAUGAGAUCUUCCAGACUUCAAACAACUAAUGACAUGCUUCCAAUCCAGAGAACAAUCCUACAAUCCAGAAACCAUAAACUUGCCAGAAGCUUAAGGCUUUCCAUUCUACUUACCAAGCCAUUUUAUCUCCAUCUGAGGACUAUCAGGCAAUCAACAAACUAUACACACAAUCAUGACCCAGAAAACCCCACAACUGUUAGACGAUUUAGGAGACAACAAAUUAGUUCUCGCAAACAUCAGCUCGAGCAUGCUUUAAAACCUAGAAUUCCUGCAAAAAAAAACAAACUGCACAUAAAACAAUGGACCAGAGAUGCAUGACAAACAAGAUAAGGUUGCUGAGAAGAAAAAGAAGUCAUGGCAAGCUGAAAGGUUCUAAAAAGAAGAGGACAGUCUCAUUCCAGGACAUAUCUCAAAGAGCUAGGAAACAAGCAAAAAUAUUCGCCGGCAAUUACAUGAAUGGUGAUCUGUCUUAACUAACUAUAUUAACAUAAAUUGAUGUUGUCAGUUCUGUAUAAUUCAUUAAUUUCAAUUGAUGAUAUUUCCGACAUUGAUUAGGUGGAAAAGAAGGAAACAAUAAUGAGGAACAGCCUCUCGAUUAUGAAUCAGAGGAAGAAUUCCCAUAUACAUAUAAGUGUAUUCAAUUGGGUCUAAACUAUACGUUGACCUCAAAUAAAACAGUACAUACUUACCAUCCUUUCUGAUUGUCUUUGUUAACCAGUGAUGCCAUCCCAGAAGCAUUAUAUUGGAGGGCCAACUGCAACAUGCCCUCAUUGUCAAGCAAUGAUGUGGGAUGAGGAAAGAGUCAAUAAAAGCCAAAAGAAACAACCACCAGAAUUUGCCAUUUGUUGUGGGAAAGGAGCUGUCAAAUUACCUCUGCUUAAGGAGGCACCUGAAUUUCUGAAAAAACUAAUGCAAUAUGUAGAUGGUGGGCCGCAAGCAUCAAAUUUCAGAUUGAACAUCAGGGCAUAUAAUUCAAUGUUUGCAUUUACCUCACAGGGUGCCAAAGUGUCCAAAGAACAGAACAAUGGUUCAUCGCCAUGGGUGUUUACAAUGUAUGGGCUUAAUCAUCACUUCAUGGGGUCUUUGUUUGCCACUAGAUAGUAAGCCACCUGCAUUCUUACAGCUGUACAUUAUAGACACUGAAAAUGAAGUCAAAAAUAUGAUGAAUGCUAUUACCAAGAAGAAAAAAAAAAAAAGAAAAACAGGAUGGAAAGUCAGGCGCUAAAUCUUCAAUGAUGGCCGUAGACGAAUAUGGAAAGAAAAGCACAAGGGAAUUGAAUGAAAACACUGUUGCUGGCUUAGUUACAAUGCUGGACACACACAACUGGCUAAGCAAAAAUUCAGAAUGUGGAGGGAUAGGUACAGACCAGAUGAACUAAGCGAUGUUGAAUUCCGUCUUAUUGGUACACGAAAAAGGGAUGCGGGGCAAUACAAUCUUCCAACUACAUCGGAAAUAGAUGGAAUUGUAGUUGAUGAUACCGAUUCAAAUGGAAAAAGGGACAUAGUCAUACAGCUAAAAAAUGGUUUACUGAUAGAUAUAUCCGAGUUGCACCCAAGUUAUAUGGCAUUCCAGUAUCCACUAUUAUUUCCUGAUGGUGAAGAUGGUUUUCAUAUUGAUAUUCCAUAUGAUAAGUAAAUUAAAAUUGUGUACGACGACGAAAUGGACGAUGAAAUAGGUAAUGAAAAAAAGAGAAAAAACAUAACUAUGAGGGAAUACUAUGCAUUCAGAUUACAACAAAGAACAGGUGAAGGUCAAACACUUCUCCGGGGAGGACGACUAAUCCAGCAGUAUGUGGUUGAUGCUUAUGCUACAAUUGAGCAAAGCAGAUUGCAGUGGGUUAAAGGCCAUCAAAAAGAAAUACGUUGUGACUUAUACAACGGUAUAAAAGAAGUCGUAAGGGAUGGAGACACUAAACCUGGUAGCGCAGGUCGAGUAAUCUUACCAUCAUCUUUCACAGGUGGGACAAGAUAUAUCAUUCAGCAUUACCAGGAUCCAAUACCCUAAUGCAGAGAGUUGGGUCCCCCUGACUUAUUUAUUACAUUCACAUGUAAUCCGAAUUGACCGGAAAUUUGCAGAAGCUAUCAAAAUGUUCCAUGGGCAAAAGCCAAGUGAGAGAUCAAACAUGAUCAGUCGCGUAUUUCACAUCAAACUGAAACAGUUAAUGUCGGACUUGGUUGGAAGCAGGCAUUUCAGAGAAGUGCAAGGAGCUCUCUAUACUGUUGAAUUUCAAAAACGAGGUUUACCUCAUGCUCAUAUAUUGUUGUGGCUUAAAC
Papaver somniferum (opium poppy) is the source of this 3667-nucleotide RNA transcript. RefSeq lists it as uncharacterized. Lineage: Eukaryota; Viridiplantae; Streptophyta; Magnoliopsida; Ranunculales; Papaveraceae. The record is from RefSeq and is a predicted model, not a curated record. The transcript has 10 exons.